CACAUGUGACAGGUGCGAUCGUCUCAUGAAAACCUGACGCCACAUGCACACGUAUAUAUAGCAAGAAUGACUGCAAGGCCUUCGCAAGCCUGCUAGAAUGCUGCCGGCGUCCACGAUGUUAGCGCUGUUUGUGGCGCCCCUGGUGGUGGUGCUGGCUUCUGCAGUCACCGUCGACCUGACCGCGAUGCAGUUCGUGGGAAUUGGCUACAACCUGUUGAAGGCCAACCCCGAGGGGGAGGACACGGUGCCGCGAGGGGGGAUAGACCCGGGCCUUCUUCUGACCAGGAACAUCUUGAAACUGACCGGGAAGGAUCCACCGGAAGCCGAAUUCGUUCAAGGACGUAAUGUCAACGCGUCGGAGGAACAUAUCUACUAUGGCCAGAAGUCCUACCAAUCCAUGCUGUCGCGCCGAGUAGACACUUCCUUUGGUGGCGCAAUAGGCAAGUUCCUCGCAGGCUUCUCCUUCAGCAUGAGCGCAAGCUCACAGCACGCCACGGCGGAGACCAAUGUGCAGAAGAACGUGUUUUACCAGAAGCAGUCGGUGUGCAACAUGGGCCAGGUGCGCUAUCUGGACGAGCUGGCGCAGACACACAACUUCUCAGUGACGGAGAACUUCGCGGCCGCUGUGUGUGCCCUGCCCGACACCUACAACGCCGCUGUAUACAUGAAAUUUCUUGACACCUGGGGCACGCAUGUGAUAACCAAGACUGACAUCGGGUACCGAACCAUCACCCGGUACAAGAGUACCCUUUCAAACUUCGUUCAACACGUCAUGAAGCAGUCCGCGUCAUCCAUCACCUUUGGGGGCCACUACAAUCAGUACAGCGCUUCUAUCGGUGUCGACUUCGACAAGUUCUGGCUAAGUGACAAUUCCAGCACACAGUUCGGCAGCUUACAGUACACCUUUAACAUCGGGACCUCUGCGAGCCCAGAACCUUUGUGGUUUGAAGUGCGACCGAUGGACUUUGCCUUGACCGCCGACUACUGGAAGGUCUACUCAUCCUGUGGCGGCAACACCCAGCUCUCUCUCACCAAGAAGAAAACCGCCCUCCUCACAGCACUUAACGCUUACCCUACUCUCAAGAAGCAACAGAUAGGCAAAGAUAUCGACCUGAGAAUACCGCUGAUUUGGCCCCUGGGGACAUACGGCUUGAUGCAGCCCAAGACUGGCUGCCCCACCGGUGGAGCAUCAUGGGCCGAGGGCUGGAACUAUGAAGACUUGGAAAACACCUUAACCUUAAACCACGCCUCCUCCGGCAUACACCUCAGAGGAAGCUUUCCUGACAAAGGGAAUUUCAAGUACUACUUCUGUAUGAAGGGCAAGCCGAAGGUCAGUGACUGGGACAUGGACUGGCCAUCCGGGGACUACUGCAUUCUCAAGUAUGGGAACUGUCCUUCAGGUAGAUAUACUGCAUUCUCAAGUAUGGGAUCUGUCCUUCAGGUUUCAAAGAUGGCUACAUCCAGCUUGACGACAAUGACGUUCCCAACAUAAACAAACAUGGCGGCACACUGCCCGAUGGCAGUUUUGGCAAGAACACGCGGAUCGACUUUUGUUGCAGAGACGACGCGUUGCCAACCAACCCGAUGUACUUGCCCACAGAGAAGCCCUUCUUCCUGUUUCUGUACAACCGGGAAUGCCAGAAGGUGCAGGGCAUGACGCUCAGGCAGGAGUUCCUCAUCUACGACACCGAGGACACC
RNAcentral lists this unclassified non-coding RNA (1698 nucleotides) under Haliotis rufescens (red abalone). Its description in RNAcentral is "uncharacterized LOC124120168, transcript variant X2". Lineage: Eukaryota; Metazoa; Mollusca; Gastropoda; Lepetellida; Haliotidae. The record is from RNAcentral.